Aphidius gifuensis is the source of this 358-nucleotide long non-coding RNA. RefSeq lists it as uncharacterized. Lineage: Eukaryota; Metazoa; Arthropoda; Insecta; Hymenoptera; Braconidae. The transcript has 3 exons. The record is from RefSeq and is a predicted model, not a curated record.
GAUAAACCUGGAAGAGUACAACUACAAUUUCCAAUGACUUUGUCACUUCAAGGAUUUAAACAAAAAAUAAGAACAAUAAAAGCUCAUGAAACUCUCACCAUUUACCAUAAAGUUGACCUGGAAUGUUUCAAAGAAUCGAAUAAAGAAAAUCAAGUGGCUGAUAAAAUAAAAGAUAAAAAAUGCAGCAUUGGUAAAUUUAAAAUACUACUUAAGAGCGGGGACUUAAAACUUGGAGCACACGAUUCAUCUUAUCCAGGUCUUCAUUUCAGCCAUGAAGUUUCGAUUGAAAUUAACUUGGAUGAUGAUGUACCCUUCAUUGAUAUCAACUCCCUGACAGUAAAGGAAUAUUUUACUCGGG